This 253-nucleotide ribosomal RNA is filed under the name uncultured bacterium. RNAcentral describes it as "partial 16S ribosomal RNA". It matches the Rfam family "Bacterial small subunit ribosomal RNA", at positions 524 to 776 of the family's 1533-position model. The record is from RNAcentral.
GACGAACCGUGCGAACGUUGGUCGGAAUCACUGGGCUUAAAGGGAGCGUAGGCGGGCUAUCAAGUCUGGGGUGAAAUGCCACGGCUCAACCGUGGAACUGCCUCAGAUACUGACGGCCUCGAGGGAGAUAGGGGCAUGCGGAACUGUAGGUGGAGCGGUGAAAUGCGUUGAUAUCUACAGGAACUCCGGUGGCGAAAGCGGCGUGCUGGAUCUCUUCUGACGCUGAGGCUCGAAAGCUAGGGGAGCAAACGGG